Clupea harengus (Atlantic herring) is the source of this 1095-nucleotide long non-coding RNA. Lineage: Eukaryota; Metazoa; Chordata; Actinopteri; Clupeiformes; Clupeidae. The record is from Ensembl.
GCCACUUUUUAAUGAAUCUGAUGGUUUAGGUUAUGUUGGUUCAUGUUGGGAUGUACUAACUUGAACAUGAUACUGAAAAGUUCAUAAUUUUGUCUCAACCCCAACUGAGUUGUUCAAGUGUUUGGGAUUGACUUUUAAGGCUAGCCUUUAAACUGGUAUGCCACUAUGACUGAGGAAAUGCUAAUGGUGUCUUGAACAGGGGUGCAGUGGAUUACGCUAGAAGAGUGGAUAACCUUUCCUACAGGCCUCCAAGCAUUGAGCACUGUGUUUUGUCAGAUUUGGACAUUGAAAUGUUUAGACUUCGCAUUCAUAUUUUUGUGUUUAAAUAUUCCCACUACACCAUUGGUCUCACACAGUUCUCACUGAAUUAACUUCUGCCCUGUAGAUUAGGCCUGUAGAAUUAACCUAUAAUAUCUUUAAUGUUACGGUACGUGUUAUCAUGCAUAAUAAACCGUGUUCGAUUUCAGCAGUGGCCUUCCUAACUCUGCGGUGCGCCGCUGUUGAAUGCAUAUAGGGAACAUACUGGACACUGAAGUACUGAAUCUCAUGACUUUUCCAGGAUGUCCAUGACCGUGGGAACCCUGUUGAUCCACAGUGAUUCUGGACCGUACAUGCUACUGUGUCUGUGACAGCACGGGCUUUUCUGGUGAGCAGAGGAUCAAGGGCAGACGAAGAGAGGGGAGAGGCAGAAGGAAAGACGUAUAAUAACUUAGUACGAAGGAAAGGAGUCUAAUAACUUGGUACGAAGGAAAGGAGUCGAAUAACUUGGUACGAAGGAAAGGAGUCUAAUAACUUGGUACGAAGGAAAGGAGUCUAAUAACUUGGUACGAAGGAAAGGAGUCUAAUAACUUGGUACGAAGGAAAGGAGUCGAAUAACUUGGUAAGCAAGGUAAAUAUGUUUAUAAGUGAUUUUACAUGAAAUUGUGAGGCAUUUCAUACAAUUCCACAUUAACAAAACUUGCAUUACAGAUCAUUACAGAUACAUUGCUGAAAUUUCCAUUUUGAGUUAAGGCCAAAUAUGGAGAGAAGGAAACGAACAAUAAAUAAGAAAUGAAGAAUCAAGAAUUAUAACUCAGUAUUUGUGAGAAUGUGAAA